Molecule: small RNA, 713 nt
Filed under: Pan troglodytes (chimpanzee)
Lineage: Eukaryota; Metazoa; Chordata; Mammalia; Primates; Hominidae
Description: processed transcript
Source: RNAcentral
UUCUUCUGCAGGUGGAUCAGAACUGUGUUCGCAAUUCUUAUGAUGUCUUCUCUUUGCUACGAAAUAUCCUGCUUUUGCCAGUUUAAUAAGUGGAAGUAUGGUGGAAAAUAAAGGGCUUUGGUCCUUCACCUAAAUUCCAGUCCUAAAACUGCCAUGUGUAGGUAAACUGGAUGCAAGACUUUGAGCAAGUAACGUCAACUUUUUGUAUACCUUAGUCUGCUUUUGUAAAAUGGGGCUAAUAUUUGUCUCUUCUAUUAGGAAUAUUGUUAGAAUUAAAUAAGAUAAAAUAUUUGAAAGAUCUUAGGAUAGUUACUGGCAUAUAGUAGACAUUUAAUAAAUGUUAGUUUUCUUCUUCCUCUUUACUUACCUGGUCUUGGAUAUAGCUUUCUCCUCUAAGCCAGUAUUCCUUUUCCUUGUUACCACUAGCUUUUCUACUUUUCAGCAUAUUUUUCCUUUCUCUCCCCAGCAUUCUAGUGUUUUCCAUAUCUGCUUUUAUAACUGCAUGAUGGAUUCUUCUUGCUCACUGCCCAGAAAAGUCAAUGCAUUGAGAACAGGUUUUGCAGCAAAGAAAGAGUUUAAUUAUUACAGGGCCAGCCAAAUGGAAGGAUGGGAGAUAAUUCUCAGAUCCGCUUCCUCAGAAUUCACAGGCUAGAGUGUUUCAAGGAUAGUUUGGUAGGCAGGGGUCUAGGAAAUGGGGAAUCCUGAUUAGUUGG